Molecule: ribosomal RNA, 300 nt
Filed under: uncultured Flavobacteriaceae bacterium
Lineage: Bacteria; Pseudomonadati; Bacteroidota; Flavobacteriia; Flavobacteriales; Flavobacteriaceae
Description: bacterial SSU rRNA
Rfam family: Bacterial small subunit ribosomal RNA
Source: RNAcentral
CGCGUAUACAAUCUACCUUAUACUGGGGUAUAGCCUUUAGAAAUGAAGAUUAAUCCCCCAUAGUCUCUUAAAGUGGCAUCACUUAAGGAGUAAAGGUUACGGUAUAAGAUGAGUAUGCGUUCUAUUAGUUUGUUGGUGUGGUAACGGCACACCAAGACUACGAUAGAUAGGGGCCCUGAGAGGGGGAUCCCCCACACUGGUACUGAGACACGGACCAGACUCCUACGGGAGGCAGCAGUGAGGAAUAUUGGACAAUGGAGGCAACUCUGAUCCAGCCAUGCCGCGUGCAGGAUGACUGCC